Long non-coding RNA from Mastomys coucha (southern multimammate mouse), 1014 nucleotides. RefSeq lists it as uncharacterized. The transcript is spliced from 3 exons. The record is from RefSeq and is a predicted model, not a curated record. Lineage: Eukaryota; Metazoa; Chordata; Mammalia; Rodentia; Muridae.
UGGACCAGGUGAAAAUGAACAAGCACAAGAAAGAGGGGGAGGAAACGCCAUAAUGUUCUAUGUAAAUUGAGAAUGAAAGGCUGGUGAUCAGCCAUGACCUAGUACACCUGGGUUUGCAAGACGGCUCAGUGGGUAAAGACAUUUGCUGAGCAAUCUUGGAGAUAUGCGUUCCAUCUCCAAAACCCAUGUGAAGCUGGAAGAUCCAGAUGCAGAACCCUCAGCUCCUUCUUCAAACGCCAUGUCUUGCCUGCACACCGCCAUGUUCCUCAGCAUGAUAAUGGACUAAACUUCUGAAAGUGCAUGCCAGCCCCAAUUUAAUGUUUUCUGUGGUCACGGAGCCUCUUCGCAGCAAUAGAAACCCAAACUAAGACAGUCUCUAUUCACACUGUUCCCUCAGCAUACAUCCCACAAACAUGCGUGAGUGGAGAGACAUCAGAUCCUUGGCUUGUCAGUGUAUUUUUUGCCUUGAUGUAGGUUGAUUUUAGACAUAAUUUUACAAUGUCAUUUGAUAUCGAUGCCCUUUGCUUUUUUGGCUCACUGAAAUACUGUGGCAAUCUGAUUUAGCUCUUAAAAAUCUGGCCGACAAAUGAUUCCCUCAGUCCUGGGAAUUUUUAGAGGCAGGAUUUCCCCCCUAUGUUCACAGAAACAUCUGACACGUGUCCUAAAAAAUGGGACCUGAUAGUAUUCAGAGGAUUUUAUUUUUAAAAGAUUGUAACAAACAGACCUAAAAUUUAAACUUUUCGGAUUUGAACAGCACAAAGAGGUGGACUUAUCAGAACUCAAAGCAGUAACUGUUUAUGGCUCUAAUUAGUAGCAUGAACUUUCGAGGUGGGGGGGUGCCUAAAAAUGGGGUAGACCAAAUUCUUCUGUAAUCACCAACUUUCUUCAGGGCAAUUUAUACCCUGAGGGUUAAGAACAAUCACUUGUUCAAUCACAAGGACAAGCCUCACGUGGCAAAAAUAUUUUUUCCAUAGAAGCAUGUGAAUAACAACCACCAGCGGAAGUAAAUUGGAU